RNAcentral lists this small nuclear RNA (23 nucleotides) under Arabidopsis thaliana (thale cress). Its description in RNAcentral is "snRNA_06291". The record is from RNAcentral. Lineage: Eukaryota; Viridiplantae; Streptophyta; Magnoliopsida; Brassicales; Brassicaceae.
UGUUUACAAAUGUAAUAUGAAGC